Long non-coding RNA from Mauremys mutica (yellowpond turtle), 411 nucleotides. RefSeq lists it as uncharacterized. The record is from RefSeq and is a predicted model, not a curated record. NCBI's taxonomy places the organism in Eukaryota, Metazoa, Chordata, Testudines, Geoemydidae. The transcript has 4 exons.
AGUGUGGAUUGAAAGGGAGAGCCUGGCUGAAGGGCAACCAGCCAGCCUGUGGUACCUGUAGGUGCAUAGAUGCUUGUGGCUUCCUCAUGGGGGAAUUCCUGUACUGCCACUCAUGAAGCCCAUCACCAAUCAAAGGGCAAAGCAGUGAGAGCAGACAGAUAUUUGCUCCUGAUGUUCUACUCUGGAAGAUGCCAUCUAAAUGGAUUAGACUAGAAGCUGGUUGCCCAUCUGAAAACACCAAAGGUUCCCAGCCUUCUUCAGUGCACAGGAUGGAGACCCAAGGGACCAGAAUUAAGGCUGCAUGGACAACUGUAAACCUGGUAUUCCCUAACUUCCGAAUGUUUGUCUUUGCAACCUAAAUAAUGCUCUGUUAAUGUCACUCUUGUAUGCUAUAAAUUAUGUAAAACCUUG